This 1326-nucleotide long non-coding RNA is filed under the name Setaria viridis. RNAcentral describes it as "long non-coding RNA (SVIR_LNC000611)". Lineage: Eukaryota; Viridiplantae; Streptophyta; Magnoliopsida; Poales; Poaceae. The record is from RNAcentral.
UUAGGACGAAAUCGGAAUCUACUGCCUUCAACCCAAAUUCCCAAUUCUAGAAAUCAUCUUCCCUAUGACGAUAGGGGAAAGUAGUGGCACAAAACAGGGGACUGACCUGACCGUAGCUCCUACUCCUCCCUUCACUGCUAGGAUGCGCCAUUCCCGCCGCCCGUUGUAGAUCUACGCACCGACACCUCUAGGCUCUAGUCUUUGCUAUAGCCAACAAGAGCGUGCUGGCGAGUCCCUUGCAGUGCACAUGAGUAAGUAGUAAGCACACCCAAUCCAAGGGAUAUUUGUUUGUUUUCCAAUAUUUACAUGUAAGUAAGCACAUCCAAUCAAUUGAUAUCUAAUGUGCAUAUGAUUAAGUAGUAAGCACAUCCAAUCAAGGGGAGGGAUGUUUGAUUUCCAACGGGAGCUAUAUAUAGUUUCAUUUCAUCCUAUCUUUUGUCCAGUCAAACAGUUCCACAUCAUUAUGCUGUAGAUGAUUUCACUAUGCUGUAGAUGAUGUGGUAGUUUUGGAAAGAGUGUAAUUAAAAAGGCACUAAGCGUGGCCUAAGUAGCACACUGAAUCAAAGGGAGGGUUGUUUGAUUUCCAAUUUUUUACAUGAUUAAAUAGUAAGCACACCCAAUCCAAGAGAGGUUUCUUUGGUUUUCCAAUCUCAAAACUCAAUAUAGUAGUUCUCCAUCCUAAAUAGUACCCAAUACCGUACUUCAAUAUCAAAGAAAAUUCAUUAUUCGAAAGUUGUCUAUAUGAGAACAGACCAUCCGCCUUUUUGACCAGUAUCAUGAUAUCAUGAUAUACCAAAGAUUUUGAAUCCAAAUUUGAUGACUUUGGGUUCAGAUUCUGCUGAUUCUAUCAACAAAUAUUUGGUAUAGAUUAUGCUGAUUGUAGCAAGAAUCAGAAAUGUCUAUUAGAACAGACUAUUAGACAUCAUACUAUUCGGUUGUUUGUCUGGUUUUCAACUAACCAGAACGUCCUUUGGUCGCCAUUACCUGCCGCGGACCAGCCUUCCCAAAAUCUUUCCGAGGCGCUAUUCAAAUAUUCGGACACUAAGGCCAAGCCGUGUGAUAGAUGAGAAAUGUCUAUUUUUCUCCCCCUCCCCCUCGAAAGCACCCUGUUUCAUUCACCACCAUAGUAAAGGGCAUAUUGGUAAUGUAACGGGACCAUCUGCCCACUUGCCCAAAUACUACCCCCCUCCCUCGCUCCCACCCCAAAAAAUAAUCGUCCACAUCCAAAAACUUUCUACCAUCAGUUCCCCUUCAUUUCCCAUCCCAAAUCUUUACCUCCUCGCCACCAUCCUAAAUCUUCAACCUCACCACCAUCCACAAUCUUCC